Phacochoerus africanus (Common warthog) is the source of this 1048-nucleotide long non-coding RNA. RefSeq lists it as uncharacterized. The transcript has 3 exons. The record is from RefSeq and is a predicted model, not a curated record. NCBI's taxonomy places the organism in Eukaryota, Metazoa, Chordata, Mammalia, Artiodactyla, Suidae.
UUCUCAAGAAAAUAACUCAAAGUAUAAAUCUCAUUGAUAGUGAGAUAAUAUGUAAAGGAUAAUACAUAACAUUAAUAAAUUGCUUUGCUGAUGAUUCACCCUACAUUUUGCAAAUUCCUGGAUGUAUUUACCACAGUGUGGUGAAACCGUGGUGUCAUAAAGCUUUGAUUAGCCAGAACGUAAUUAGAACCUUUAAUUUAAAAGAAUUUCUUCUGAUACAUUUUUCAGUUACCAAUCUAUUUCUUCUCAGCUCACAUUCCCCCUUCACUGCCCUGCUUUGUGACGUUGGAGGUGAGUCCUAUAAACAGUUCUCCUUUGCAGCUGGCAUGAUGAUUGGUUGGUAAAGAGCACUGCAGGGCCAUUGCUUCUCUUCUUUAUUCUGAUGUGGUUUUCCUUCCCCUGCAGUGCAUGACAGCUAGUGAGUGCCAGAGUCCCAGCCACAGUGAACCACCUAGCAAGUCUCACAGGUACCCCAGAAGACGCUGCUUCACCUUGAACUGAAUGACAUAAAACAGGCGUCUACAGGGCCACUGACACGAAACUGCUGAGUCCCCAUCUGCAGAGAAACAGCUAAAUAAUCAUUUUGAGUCAGUUGCUGCAGUGAAACAUGAAACAUGAUCAUUGAAGAAGCCUGCAAUUUAGCAGAAAAUAAGGUACACCAGAAUCUUCUGCUCCAGCUGUACAUUGAGGAUCCUAGUCUCUUUGAAAAUGGCCUUACGGUUUAGUUGCUAUAAUUCUUCCCUUAAACAAGUUUGCAAAGUUGUUCUUUAAGGAAUUAUACUUGCCCAAAACUCCAGGGAGCUCACAAUAGUCUUAAGAUGAAACACUGCCUAACCACAAUUUGUGGGAAAUGACAUGAGCUUGUUAUAUGAAUUUUCUGGUAAACCCUUCAAUCUUUGUAUCUUGUUACAUGAUUUGGAAUUUUAAGUUGCUUCAUUUUUGGAAACUGCUGUUAUUGAGAGGCGGGUGUGUACUGCCAGUUGUUUUGCCGGAUGAUAUUGUGUUGUUGUUGUUGUCAUUUGUUUCUUUCUCUGGAGGGCAAGUGCCC